This 425-nucleotide ribosomal RNA is filed under the name uncultured bacterium. Its description in RNAcentral is "partial 16S ribosomal RNA". It matches the Rfam family "Bacterial small subunit ribosomal RNA", at positions 354 to 796 of the family's 1533-position model. The record is from RNAcentral.
GUGGGGAAUAUUGGACAAUGGGCGAAAGCCUGAUCCAGCCAUGCCGCGUGAGUGAUGAAGGCCUUAGGGUUGUAAAGCUCUUUCAGUAGGGAAGAUAAUGACGGUACCUACAGAAGAAGCCCCGGCUAACUUCGUGCCAGCAGCCGCGGUAAUACGAAGGGGGCUAGCGUUGUUCGGAUUUACUGGGCGUAAAGCGCACGUAGGCGGAUUGGUCAGUUAGAGGUGAAAUCCUGGAGCUCAACUCCAGAACUGCCUUUAAUACUGCCAGUCUAGAGUCCAGAAGAGGUGAGUGGAACUCCGAGUGUAGAGGUGAAAUUCGUAGAUAUUCGGAAGAACACCAGUGGCGAAGGCGACUCACUGGCCCGUUACUGACGCUGAGGCGCGAAAGCGUGGGGAGCAAACAGGAUUAGAUACCCGAGUAGUCC